CUUUGUAAUAGUUGAAUUGAAAAAGGAAGUAUUUUGAUUUCCUGUCUCUUUGUGUGAACAUCAACCAAGACUCUCUAACAUAAGGAUCCUGAAAUUUAGCAGGAUUAAGUUUCAGUAACUUUCCUACCUCUUUUCCCUUUUUCCUUGCAAACGGAGGGAGUGUAGGAUCAGGAUUUCAUGGAUGGGACUGGUAUUCCAGGGACAUGAGUAUAGUCCUUACUGACUCUACUGUGAUCUUAGGUGGCUUCCUGAAAUUAUUGCUGUUCAGCUGCAGAGCAGAGAUAACAUGGAUUCCCUCGAUCUCAGCCAUUCAUCUGCAUGUGUUCUGCAAAGAAGUCAAGGGAGAAGCUGUUCACUUCAAGCUCAUAUCCAGUGCUAUGUCAUCAAAAGCUCUGAUAUCUGCAAGGAUCAGUGAUGUCAGAGUGCAGCUGAGCUGAGCUUGGUUCCAGAAAGGGAUUCUGAUUACUCCUGCAAAGAACCUGUACUCCAUCUACUAUGGCAAGAUGAUGAAGAAACAGACUCACCAGCAUAUUUCUCCUCUUCCCUAAUUUCUUUUGCAAGAGCUUUCAUAGGAGGGUCCUUCACUAACUCAGAAAGCAAUUACUAGGGAAGACAUAUAUGAGUAACAGAAAUGAUAGGAUCUGACUAAGAACUUGCAGUACAUUGCAACUGCCAACUUGCCAGCUGGAAGAGGCCAAACAUUAAGGGUGUUUACUCACAAGCAAGCAACUCUACUACUUGGUCGUGACACUAUGCAGGUUUGGGGUAGGUUUUAGGGCAGCUGAAAUCACUCUUAAGCUUCCCUACUUUUACUAGCAGAUGCUGGUGGUUAUGUGAACAUGUCAAACGUUUCAUCAUCUUCUUCAGGCAUUCUCAAGAGUCUCUGGCAACCUGUCAAAUGAUGGAUUCUUCUACCAAGGCAGUAGUUUUAUUAAAUCAAUUAGCUACUUCUGAGUAUUUUUACCGUGAGUGAAAUUGCUGUUUUUGGCCUCAGAUCCCACCUUAUUCUAUGUUUCUGAUCUUCAUAUGCCUUAAAACACUCAGAAAGGAGGCACAAGUACUCAGGAAGGAGGUCCAAGUUCUAGGCAGAUUAGAUUAUGAGAAAACUUGGCGUGAAGAGAAACACUCACUGCUAGAUCACAGCAAGCUCAGAUCUUGGCAAGUUGGAUACUGAAAAUGAAAUUGUCAGUGGCUUCAGGUACAUUCAGAAAGAAGGUAUUAUGAGGCAAGUUUGAAAAUGAGAACUAUAUUUUGCACUCUGCAGACCACAGAGAUUUUAGAUACCUCAUAUCUUGUCUAAAGGAAAUUUUUCCCCUGCCCAAAUAGUGACAUUGACACAACUCAGAAUGAAAAAACUGUUAAGGUUUGGUAAUUCCUGGGCAUCGUAUGAGUUUCUUAGAAAGACUCUAUAAAUUAUGCUUCAAAAAAUGUGUCUGAAAAAAUAAUUUCUACAACAAUAACAGUGAGAGACAUAUUAGAAUAAUAAUGGUUGCAACUAAGAAGUACAACACUUUCCCAUAUUCUGUAGGUCUUCCUAAUUUACUGCCAGCUCUUCCUUGCUCAUCAGUUAGGUAUUAUAGCAGCUUAUCAACAUUUAUCACUCAAGGAGAACUUGAGUCUCUUAUUCUAUUGUAUAAGAAAUUUUGAAAAGUAAUUACUGAUAUUUUAUUGAAGACACGUAUUUUAGAAAACAUUGUCAGUAUCUGUAGACUUCACAAAGUGUAGCACUGAUAUUCUCUGGCAAAAACCUAACUUGGUUGAUUACUUACCUUUUGCGAUUGCACUAGGUCAGGUUAGAAUUGAGUUAAUUUUCUUCACAGCAGUCCAUAUAGUUCUUUUUUUAUAUUUGUGGCCAAAACAGUGCUGAUAACACAUCAGUCCUUUAGCUACUUCUGAACAGUUCUUUACACAGAGCCGAGGUUUUCUGUUUCUCACUCUGUCUCCCACAGUGAGUAGGUUGGAGUUGGGCAAGACAAGAAGGGGAUACAGCCAGGACAGCUGAUUCAAAUUGACCAGAGAUAUAUUCCACAUCAUAUAACAUCAUGUCCAGCAAUAAAAUGGGUAAUUUUCUCAUAGUAGCUAUUGCUUAGACUGACUGAGCAUCAAUCUGCUCGUUAGAGGUGGUGAGUGACUGGCUUUGCAUCACUUUUUUUUUAAUUUCCUUUCUUCUUCACUUAUUAAACUGUCUUUAUUCAUGCAUUUUUCUCACUUUGCCAUUCUGAUUCUCUCUGCCAUUCUGCUGAGGGCAGCAAGCAACUGCCUGGAGAUUUAGCUGCCAGCUGAGGUCAACCCAUUGUGAUGACACUGCAUUCCAACUGUGAUAUGAAUAAUGCUUUGGUCAUUUUUACAUUUUCAUGCAAUGUAAAAAUGAGCCUUUUUGACUUACCAAAGUUCCUGUUGUAAUGCUUCCAGUCUGUAUGGCAUAUAGGUCUUUUUUUGUCCUAUGUCAGGAAAGCUUCACAUGGAACACUCUUCUACAAAGGCUUCCUCCUUGAUAUUCUUUUUCACAUAAGUCACAAAGAUGGUGGUGAUCUCUUGCAGAGACUGACUGUGAUUCCUUCUUCUCUUCCUGCUAAAGGAAGACUUGCUAUUUACUGUAUCAUGUAGUCACUUAAACAGAAUAAUUGCACUUCCCCUCUUUCUAUGUGUCCUUUCAGGGAUUUUUGUCCUGGAGAUACUGUAUUACCAGUGAACACAGUUUUUGCUCCUAAAAUUCUCUUUGGAGAAGUAACUGAGCAGCCAUAAAAGACAGCAAGAAGGAUGUGAAAGGUAUAGAUGCAGUGGCUAACAGUAUUACAGCCCAAAUUAAUUCAUUCUAUAAUAUGUAGAACACCCAGAAAUCAAAAUUUAUACAGAUGCAGUAACUACCGCAUAUAACUUAUAUGGAGUAAAUAAGAGCUAUUUCUUAGAAGUAAAUAAACAUGUAACAGUAUGAAUUUUAUUUCAUGUUGUGAAACAAGCUAGUUUGUUUAAUUAUUUUCCUAACUCGAUGCAUUUCUAUGGUCUUUCUUUUGCAACUUGCAGAAGUAGGAUUUCCAGUGAUCUCUUCCAGUCCUAAUCUCCAGGAAUAUAGCUUUAUUGAAAUUCUCUUCUUAUAUUCAUGCCACUGACUUUCUGAAGUAGUUUUCCCAAAGGACUCCAUUCCUUCCACCAAUGGUUCUUUGUUCUACCCCCUGAAUGACAGAGGCUGCAUGUGAAUGAAAGAAAUGAUAUAUCAAAGUAUGUGGUGGGAAAUAAGACAUUCUGCUUUAAAAAUGAAUUUCAUCUCUCAUGUUUUGGUAUCUGUUCCAUCUCCAACCAUAACUCAUUGCCUCUCUCCUCCACAGCACACAGGGUGUUCCAGAUGGUAAUGGAGUAAUGAGUUAUACACAGGGCCUGCAGUUCUCAAAAUGCAACUCCAGGAAGCAAAAUGGUCCCACUGCUCUAAUGAAGACAGGGCACAAGGCCAGUCUGGUAGAGAACUCAUUUUGUUUUCCAAAUUAUGCCUGGCCUUAAGAACUUUUGAAAAUAUUAGAAAGUGAACUGGAAUCUCCAAAAAGAUUUAUUAUUUUACUGAAGAUUCAAAUUGAGCCAAUAGUCUAAUGUCAGUUAAAAACUGAAGCAAAAAUCAGAAAAGCAGUGAAUCCAUUGGAAAUAUAGUUUUUACUGAGGUGUGAAUGAAUGCCUAUGACAGGAUCUCAUGGAGUUUCUAGCUGAAAAGAAGGCUGCUCUCAGUUUAAUUCCUAAGUCAUGUUCUGUGUAUGCUUGCUUAGACAAAGCUGGUUGGAGCAUCCUUGACCAAAUCUGCCAACAUAAUUUAGUCACUGCUUUUGGUCUCCUCUGACUUAUAAAACUACAGCUUGGGAAAAAUAGUGUGAGGUUGUACUGUGAAUACUCUCCAUAAAUUCUCACCAAUUUUGUUUUUAUCGGUACUAGAUCAGUCCUGGCACUUCUUAUAAGGUAAAUGUAUUUGUUUACACUCAAAAUAGUUUAAAAAUUUUCAGUAAGUGAUGGGCCUAAACCAAAAUGCAGGUUCCAGUCACUUCUGUGCACCUUCUUACCUUGUAGCAACUGAAAAAGAAUGCUUUCUUUGCUUUAUUUUAACAGUUAAAGUGAUCUACAAAAAGGAUAAAUGGUUUUAGCAGAGUUCCUUUUGUGGUUUAUUUAAGAAGACUUAAAAAUGAUUUCUUUUUGAAUAUUUUUAGCAGAUUUUAAACAGUCUUUUUAAAAAAAAUCUUUAUGGAUAAGUGAAAGCAGUAUGUAAUGCAAUGAAUAUAAUUAUAUAUGAAGGAAAAGUAUAUAUUUAAUUGUGGCUUAAAUUUCAGGCUUUUUCCAUUUGCUAACACGUACAACUAAACAGUUGGCAUAAGAGAUGACUUUGGAAAGGACUUACUAUUCUGUUUUUCCAAUUAAAAUCAGAAGUAGACUACAGUUAUACCUGAGGUGAGUCUUCUAGAAAAUAAUCACAAAGUAAACAAACAAUAUAUUGAACUUCUGCUUGUUCAGAUUUUCGUUGUAUACAGAGAAUUUGCAUCGAGUGAAAAAACGUAGAAACGUUUCUGAUAGUCUGUAAAGGUAAGGUUUCAGAGAUCAGAGCAGUGGGCUCAGGACCAGCCCUUUGGAUUUAUGUAGUGACCAGCUGAUUUGUUGUGAAAGUUAGAAAUGGGAAAUGUUGAUCCUUCAGAAAGUCCAGCGAAGUUAUGUUCAAUAAGUCCUGUAGAUCUAAGGAUGUCAUUACCACUACUUAGAAAAGCUGACUGGGCACAGCUUUCAUUAACAUUCAAAGACCUCAGUGGUCUAAGUCACCUUUCUUUCGCAAUCUGAGACUAUUCCCUUGCCCGUAAUGUAUCAUAUUUUAGUCUUCAGAAGAGAACCUGCACUUGCCUGCUUAGCCAUUGAGCUCAUGUAUCUUAUGAACUUUGAAAGUUUUCCUACACCCUCUGGCUUCCAACAGAAUAAUCUCAUAUUUUCUGUUAGCUCUUUCUUGUUAGCAUUAGAAGCCUCAGAGACAUAUAACAAAUUGCUUGUGCAACCAGCUACCUUUCUUCCACUGUGCCAUGGUUUGGCUUCGACAGCACAGUCCUCAUUCUUCUCUUACAUGUGAGAAGUUGCUCACACAAUGCCUGUGGUCUUAGCUGACAGUAGGAGAACAGGCUUUUUAGAUGUGAAUAUGGUGCAUGGAUAGUUGCAUUACAGCCCAAGAUACUCUUGAGAAUUUAAUUUUAAACCUCGAUUAGUUGGGACAUACACAGUGAAAAUUAAAAUCCAAGCUGAUACUCUUGUUAUAAAUUAGAGUAGGAAGAUUAUAUGUAUAAAAGAUUUUAAGUGUAUAUAUUUCCUUUCUUCCCAGAACAUAGAUGCCAAAAUGUAAUCCAAGAUUUUCACCACUAAUUGAGUUUCUUUUCUUUGUCUGCUGAGGCUACAAUUGUAAAGUGUCUAAAGAGACUGUCUGGAGUUUUGGUUUUGCUUUCUUAGAGGAGAGAAUGAUUUGUUUUAUUAAAAAAAAAAUGCUGAUAAUUAGAUAUUCGACCUUAUUAGUGACAACACGGUUACUUUCUGAAAGAGUAUUCUGGCAACGGCAUUUAUAUUCUCAAAUAAUAGAUACAUCUCAUGUUUUGUCUGACAGUGUAUAGAAAUGAUGAGAUUGUUAUUUCCAUGGAUAGGUAUAUUUUUAUAGCUGAUUUGCACAAAAUCUCAACAGUAUUCAUCAGAUAGAUGAUAUAUAGCACUGAGCUGAAGCUCAUAAGACUUGGAUCCCUUCACAUCUUCCUGAGAACUGCUGGUAAAACAUUUUAAUAUCCUUGUACUUCAACUCUCUCUCCUGUUUGCAAAAUGAAGACUGUUUUAUUCUCCUCAGUGAAUUACUUUGAUGUCUAGUAGGCUUUCCCAGUCUAAGAUGGAGAGCAUUCAUUUUUCAUGACGUUGUUUGACAUUUAUUUUUCAAUCCUUUGUGAUACAUUGAUAUUGUUUUGAUAGUAAUGUAUUAGUCAUUACUCAUGUAAAAAAUUAAGCCAAGAACAUAGAAUUUUCUCCUUUUGGACCUCAAUCCUAACCUCAAUGAGAAUAUCAUCAAGAGAAUGGCUAAUUAUUAUCUGAAAUUUAUCCUGGUAUGCUACUUCUUAUGAGUAUAGCAAAAGUAUGCCAAAUAAAAUAUAAAUCCAAAACCUCUCAUAAUCUCAUAUUAUCUAUAGUAAAUGGCAGAAUUCAUUAUCUGUUUUGAAUAAUUAAAUUAUUGUCAUUGUUUCCAUAGCAGGAAAAAUUUGGAAGAAUCGUUUUAAGGAGCUUUCUCCAAAUUGGCUACUAUUCAAGUGAAGGUAGUUUUCCCGUUUCUGGAUGUUCUGACAGUAAAACUGCUUUUCUCUAAGAAAUGAGAUUGGAGUCUAUUUUGAUUAUAACAUUUACUGGAAAAACACUUUGCUUGUAAACUUAGAUACUCAGAGAAAAAUCUCAUAAAAAACAUCACUUUUGCUACUCAGCAGUGAAGGUUUCUUUUUGUCUGUACUAUGAACUGCCCAUCCAUUUUUUCUCUGAGCUUGGCAAAAGCAGGUUCAUUUAUCACUUUGACUCUCCUGGCUUUUGAGUCAGUAAAGUGCAGUUUGAACACCUCUUACAUCUUUUUCUCCUUCCUAUUUUUGAAAGAGAGCUACAAGUACUACACUGAACACAAGACAGACUUUCUCCUGAAGAGAUUUAAAGGUAAACACUUGAAAGACUAGACAUUCUAGGAAAUCCAGAUAUUUGGAAGGACAUGAAUGAAGAAAGGGUGAUGUCUUGGCAGAAGAUAGGCAUGAAUGUUUUUACCAAAAUUUGCUACUUAAUUUAGCUUGGGUGGUUCAAAAAAUUUCCUGCUGUUACCUGAAGAUUUCUCACUAUUACGUUAUAGGGACACAUUUGGUUCUUUAAAAGGGCCAUGUGAACAACUGAGGAGACUAACUCCACAUAUUCACAGGUUGAAGUUCAAAGUACUAGAACAAAUCUGUUUUAUACCUCUACCUAGGAAAGGAUCACUUUUUGUAGAGUUGGAAUAACCUCCACUUCCUUUCACUUUUUAAUCUUUCUUCCAACACUGCCAAGUUAGAGAUAUCAGUAUUGAGAAUUUCGUCAAACAUCUAUGUCUUCUUUGGAGAUCCUUUUUCAUACAUUUCCUGCAUGUACCUUCUGCAGUCAGGCUAACUCUUAUUUCCAAAUCUGUUAUCACUGUUCAGUUGCUCUUAAAAUAAAGCAGUAUUCGAUUGUUUUUACUUCUGUCAAAUUCCAUUGCUCAACAAGAGCACAGUAACAAUGACAGAGUAUGGAUGUUGAUUCGGAUUUCAACUUUCUAUCUUAACUGCAUGAGGUCUGUGCAUCGUAUUCCAUUGGAAAGCCAGAUCCCCUUGAAAUUCAUAUACUUAUGAGUUAUACAAGCAGUUAGAAAAGACUACAUUCUGUAUUUGGGUUACAGCACAUGGGAUAAAAAAAUAAACACAUCCUUUUGAUUUUUUUGAUUGUCUACACAUUAAUAUCAAUAAGAGUGUGAAUAAAAUUUGGAUUUUUGAUUAUUUUAAAUUGAUAUUUAUUUAUUUAUUUAUUUUAAAUCAGUUAACACAGAUGUAGGGAAGAAUACCUUUCAAUGAUGAAAAAUACACUCAAAACAAAUCAAGAACUACUUAAUUUUAACUUCUGAAACACCUUCUAGGGUUGUGUUAUGGAAUGAAAAACCUUUAUGUAUGGAGGUCUCGGAGGAGCUGCCAUUCAUUAAUGUUUUAAACAGAUGCCUCACUGAGCAACAUAUUUAAUUAGAGCUACAACUGUUGUGCUUAAACAAGACAGAUUUUUACUAGAGCAAGCAUAAAGUUGAAUUCACAGCUACAAUUAACCAGACUUGUUUGUACAGUGUGUUUUAUCAAACAGGUAGUGUAGCUUUUCAAAGACAUUAAUUUGAUUGCUGAUCAUUGCUAAAAACCACAAAACAUAGUUUGCAUGGAAACUGUAUUUUGCUACUCUUUCUACAGGGUCUGAUGCAAUUUCCAUAAUGAGACAUGAUGGGAGCAAGGUUGAGCUUUUGAAGUAUUGGUGUUAUAUGUAAAAUUAUGUUUACAUAUCUUGGUGACAUAUAUAAAAUAAUAGUAUUUGUAUAUGUAUAUACAGUAUUUAUAUGUACACAUUUCUUUGUGAAGGUCAUGAAAAAGUGUAUGGCAUGAUUAUUAUAUUACAUGUUUACGCUAUAAACAAGCAAAUAGGAAACACUUUCUCUUGGUUUCAGUAUAUGACCCGUAUGAAUGCUAAAAGGAUCAUUGACUACAUGCAGGACCCAGAACCACAAUACCUAAUUGCACUGAAUAUGCAGACAUAGCCAGGAUCAGAGUACAGAAUGACACCUUCACUCUCCUCAGUCUUCUGC
This 8359-nucleotide long non-coding RNA is filed under the name Gallus gallus (chicken). The record is from RNAcentral. Lineage: Eukaryota; Metazoa; Chordata; Aves; Galliformes; Phasianidae.